GUUGAUCCUGGCUCAGNUUGAACGCUGGCGGAAUGCUUUACACAUGCAAGUCGAACGGUAGAGGGGGCAACCCCUUGAGAGUGGCGAACGGGUGAGUAAUAUAUCGGAACGUGCCCAGUCGUGGGGAUAACGUAGCGAAAGUUACGCUAAUACCGCAUACGAUCUAAGGAUGAAAGCGGGGGACUCGCAAGAGCCUCGCGCGAUUGGAGCGGCCGAUAUCAGAUUAGGUAGUUGGUGGGUAAAGGCUCACCAAGCCAACGAUCUGUAGCUGGUCUGAGAGGACGACCAGCCACACUGGAACUGAGACACGGUCCAGACUCCUACGGGAGGCAGCAGUGGGGAAUUUUGGACAAUGGACGCAAGUCUGAUCCAGCCAUUCCGCGUGCAGGAUGAAGGCCCUCGGGUUGUAAACUGCUUUGUACGGAACGAAAAGGUUUCUAUUAAUACUAGGAGCUCAUGACGGUACCGUAAGAAUAAGCACCGGCUAACUACGUG
RNAcentral lists this ribosomal RNA (495 nucleotides) under uncultured bacterium. RNAcentral describes it as "bacterial SSU rRNA". It matches the Rfam family "Bacterial small subunit ribosomal RNA", at positions 11 to 507 of the family's 1533-position model. The record is from RNAcentral.